CGUAGGUGGCAAGCGUUGUCCGGAUUUAUUGGGUUUAAAGGGUGCGUAGGCGGUUCCAUAAGUCAGUGGUGAAAUACGGCAGCUCAACUGUCGAGGUGCCAUUGAUACUGCGGAACUUGAGUACUGAUGAGGUAGGCGGAAUUGACGGUGUGGCGGUGAAAUGCUUAGAUAUCGUCAAGAACACCGAUAGCGAAGGCAGCUUACCAAGCAGUAACUGACGCUGAGGCACGAAAGUGCGGGGAUCAAACAGGAUUAGAUACCCUGGUAGUCCGCACAGUAAACGAUGAUUACUCGAUGUUGGCGAUACACAGCCAGCGUCUUAGCGAAAGCGAUAAGUAAUCCACCUGGGGAGUACGCCCGCAAGGGUG
RNAcentral lists this ribosomal RNA (368 nucleotides) under uncultured organism. RNAcentral describes it as "bacterial SSU rRNA". It matches the Rfam family "Bacterial small subunit ribosomal RNA", at positions 526 to 896 of the family's 1533-position model. The record is from RNAcentral.